GAAAUGCGAUAAGUAAUGUGAAUUGCAGAAUUCAGCGAGUCAUCGAAUCUUUGAACGCACAUUGCGCUCCUUGGCAUUCCUUUGAGCAUGCCUGUUUGAGUAUCAUGAAAUCUUCAAAGUAAAUCUUUUGUUAACUCAAUUGGUUUCUACUUUGGUAUUGGAGGUCUUUGCAGCUUCACACCUGCUCCUCUUUGUUCAUUAGCUGGAUCUCAGUGUUAUGCUUGGUUCCACUCGGCGUGAUAAGUUAUCUAUCGCUGAGGACACUGUAAAAGGUGGCCAAGGUAAAUGCAGAUGAACCGCUUCUAAUAGUCCAUUGACUUGGACAAUACUUUUAUGAUCUGAUCUCAAAUCAGGUAGGACUACCCGCUGAACUUAAGC
This 378-nucleotide unclassified non-coding RNA is filed under the name plant metagenome. RNAcentral's name for it is "partial contains 5.8S ribosomal RNA, internal transcribed spacer 2, and large subunit ribosomal RNA". The stretch from base 1 to 105 matches the Rfam family "5.8S ribosomal RNA", at positions 50 to 154 of the family's 154-position model. The record is from RNAcentral.